Molecule: ribosomal RNA, 429 nt
Filed under: Gemmatimonadota bacterium
Lineage: Bacteria; Pseudomonadati; Gemmatimonadota
Description: Gemmatimonadetes bacterium partial 16S ribosomal RNA
Rfam family: Bacterial small subunit ribosomal RNA
Source: RNAcentral
UAGGGAAUCUUCGGCAAUGGACGAAAGUCUGACCGAGCAACGCCGCGUGAGUGAAGAAGGUUUUCGGAUCGUAAAACUCUGUUGUUAGAGAAGAACAAGGACGUUAGUAACUGAACGUCCCCUGACGGUAUCUAACCAGAAAGCCACGGCUAACUACGUGCCAGCAGCCGCGGUAAUACGUAGGUGGCAAGCGUUGUCCGGAUUUAUUGGGCGUAAAGCGAGCGCAGGCGGUUUCUUAAGUCUGAUGUGAAAGCCCCCGGCUCAACCGGGGAGGGUCAUUGGAAACUGGGAGACUUGAGUGCAGAAGAGGAGAGUGGAAUUCCAUGUGUAGCGGAGAAAUGCGUAGAUAUAUGGAGGAACACCAGUGGCGAAGGAGGCUCUCUGGUCUGUAACUGACGCUGAGGCUCGAAAGCGUGGGGAGCAAACAGG